Molecule: ribosomal RNA, 253 nt
Filed under: uncultured bacterium
Lineage: Bacteria
Description: partial 16S ribosomal RNA
Rfam family: Bacterial small subunit ribosomal RNA
Source: RNAcentral
UACGUAGGGUGCGAGCGUUAAUCGGAAUUACUGGGCGUAAAGCGUGCGCAGGCGGUUUUGUAAGCCAGAUGUGAAAUCCCCGGGCUUAACCUGGGAAUGGCAUUUGGGACUGCAAGGCUGGAGUGUGGCAGAGGAGACUGGAAUUCCUGGUGUAGCAGUGAAAUGCGUAGAUAUCAGGAGGAAUACCGGUGGCGAAGGCGGGUCUCUGGGCCGAUACUGACGCUGAGGAGCGAAAGCGUGGGGAGCGAACAGG